UACGUAGGGGGCAAGCGUUGUCCGGAUUUAUUGGGCGUAAAGAGCGUGUAGGCGGUUUGGUAGGUCCACUGUGAAAACUCGAGGCUCAACCUCGAGACGCCGGUGGAAACCAUCAGGCUAGAGUCCGGAAGAGGAGAGUGGAAUUCCUGGUGUAGCGGUGAAAUGCGCAGAUAUCAGGAAGAACACCCGUGGCUAAGGCGGCUCUCUAGUACGGUACUGACGCUGAGACGCGAAAGCGUGGGGAGCGAACAGG
Molecule: ribosomal RNA, 253 nt
Filed under: uncultured bacterium
Lineage: Bacteria
Description: partial 16S ribosomal RNA
Rfam family: Bacterial small subunit ribosomal RNA
Source: RNAcentral